AUGUAUAAUAAUACUAAUAAUAAUGGUAUACUACAACAGAAUUAGGUUAUAGAGACAUAUAUUUGGGACACUUUUGAGUAAGUGUCCUAUUUAUAUUAAAACUUAAAAACACAUCUACUAAUGCCUAAAUAUAAAGCCCAAUCCAACCAAAAAUAAAAGAUUACUCUACUCAACCCACCACACCCAGUUCAUUUGGCCCGAUUAUAAACAGAAAAAAAAAAAGAAAAAUCAAUUACCAUCUUUUCUUCUCUCUUCACUCAAUCCACUGAAAUUUUAGACGAAGAGCCUUUACUGUCGUCCUCCUCCGCCACCGCAGCCAAGGUGAUAGAGUUUCGGUGGUUGCUAAAUGCUUAAAUAAGUGUUGGUAAAUUAGCAGCACUCUUUUAGGUUAUAGCGACACUCUUUAACUGUCACUAUAUACCUAGCGACCCCACAUAUACCAACACUUUUUAAAAGUGUCGGUAAUUUUAGCUAGCAGCACUUUUUUGACAUAUACCUACAUUUAAAAGUGUCGGUAUAGACUGUUUUUGUUGUAGUGGUAACAUGUAAGAAUAAGCAUCUACAAAAUCCAAAAGUGCCAGCGAUUCAACAAGAAGCAAGAAACUUAUGCCCAAACCCAGAGAUUUUUUUAAAAAAAAUAAUACACAAACCCCUAUUAAACAUAUAGUACCCUUCUCUAAUAAAAUUUGAUUUUAUUUGCUCCAUAGUAGUACUAAUUAAUAAUACUUUUAUCCAACCAAGCUUUGGAGAUUUGAAUUGUUUGCAUUGGGCUUGGAAAAUAAGAGAGGAACACAAUGAUAAUGCUUCCCCCUUUGCCUAGGGAGUAGGGUGUGUUGAACAUGAUAUGAUCUUAGUAUCGAAUUUUGCAUUUUUGAGGGCCAUUAUUUUGUUGUGUUCAAAAGUGACCCUCAUUAAUGUGGCUCGUCAUUUAUGACCAAAAAACCUGCUGUUUUGAGUAGGAAAUUAAUAGCAACCUUGUGUUUGGUUUAUUGUAUUGGAAUUAUUAUUAAUUGAAACCUUAUUAUGUUUGGUUUUUCGGAAAAUCGUGAAAAAUUAUUAUGUAGAAACUUUUUUUUUUCGUGAUUUUAUUUCUUGGAUAAAAGAUUGAAAUAUAAAGUAUGAAUUCUUUUUUCAAUAAAUUAUAUUUUUUAGAAAUCAAACUGAUAAAAAAUAUUUUUUUAGUUAGAAAUUAUUUUUCUGAAUAUUUUUUGAAAAAACAAACAACCCUUUAAAGAUUUACACAAAUUAUAGAACGAUAAAAUUGCUGGUAAAAAAUCUAACUACUUUACAUCAGAUUUGAUUCCAAUCCAUUUCUGAAAAUUG
RNAcentral lists this long non-coding RNA (1323 nucleotides) under Ananas comosus (pineapple). Its description in RNAcentral is "long non-coding RNA (ACOM_LNC025505)". The record is from RNAcentral. Lineage: Eukaryota; Viridiplantae; Streptophyta; Magnoliopsida; Poales; Bromeliaceae.